Molecule: ribosomal RNA, 402 nt
Filed under: uncultured bacterium
Lineage: Bacteria
Description: partial 16S ribosomal RNA
Rfam family: Bacterial small subunit ribosomal RNA
Source: RNAcentral
UGGGGAAUCUUGCGCAAUGGGCGAAAGCCUGACGCAGCCAUGCCGCGUGAAUGAUGAAGGUCUUAGGAUUGUAAAAUUCUUUCACCGGGGACGAUAAUGACGGUACCCGGAGAAGAAGCCCCGGCUAACUUCGUGCCAGCAGCCGCGGUAAUAAGAAGGGGGCUAGCGUUGCUCGGAAUUACUGGGCGUAAAGGGAGCGUAGGCGGACUGUUAAGUUAGAGGUGAAAGCCCAGGGCUCAACCUUGGAAUUGCCUUUGAUACUGGCAGUCUUGAGUACGGAAGAGGUAUGUGGAACUCCGAGUGUAGAGGUGAAAUUCGUAGAUAUUCGGAAGAACACCAGUGGCGAAGGCGACAUACUGGUCCGUUACUGACGCUGAGGCUCGAAAGCGUGGGGAGCAAACA